UACAGAGGUCCCAAGCGUUGUUCGGAUUCAUUGGGCGUAAAGGGUGCGUAGGCGGCGCGGUAAGUCGGGUGUGAAAUCUCGGGGCUUAACUCCGAAACUGCAUUCGAUACUGCCGUGCUUGAGGACUGGAGAGGAGACUGGAAUUUACGGUGUAGCGGUGAAAUGCGUAGAUAUCGUAAGGAAGACCAGUGGCGAAGGCGGGUCUCUGGACAGUUCCUGACACUGAGACACGAAGGCCUGGGGAGCAAACGGG
This 253-nucleotide ribosomal RNA is filed under the name uncultured bacterium. Its description in RNAcentral is "partial 16S ribosomal RNA". It matches the Rfam family "Bacterial small subunit ribosomal RNA", at positions 524 to 776 of the family's 1533-position model. The record is from RNAcentral.